UGUCCCCUGCGUUGUGCGUCAAGGCCGCUUUAAUUCUUGAACCAACGCAACCGCCAGGUCGCGGACCCAAGGCUGCUGUUGUGCGCGUCCCAUCGUCGGACGUACCUGAUGCGGCCGGAACGCGACCGCCUUGAACCGCAGGGUUCAAGAUUCGCGGCCUAACGGCUCCUGCGGGGGGCGC
This 181-nucleotide non-coding RNA is filed under the name Burkholderiales bacterium. Its description in RNAcentral is "6S RNA". It matches the Rfam family "6S / SsrS RNA". From Rfam's summary of the family: E. coli 6S RNA was the first non coding RNA to be sequenced, but its function was unknown until recently. It consists of 184 nucleotides that fold into an extended hairpin structure with a large single-stranded internal bulge. The 6S RNA specifically associates with RNA polymerase holoenzyme containing the sigma70 specificity factor. Lineage: Bacteria; Pseudomonadati; Pseudomonadota; Betaproteobacteria; Burkholderiales. The record is from RNAcentral.